Molecule: long non-coding RNA, 308 nt
Filed under: Elaeis guineensis (African oil palm)
Lineage: Eukaryota; Viridiplantae; Streptophyta; Magnoliopsida; Arecales; Arecaceae
Description: long non-coding RNA (EGUI_LNC059582)
Source: RNAcentral
CUAUGAUGCUCUCAGUCACUAUAUCAUGUCUCUGCCUUUAUCCCUAUAAGCCACUUCCCCAACCAUUCCAAAACACUCCUGACUACUGUUGAUGCCCCUGACACUCUCACAGUCUCUCUCUGAUCCUCCUUGAGAUGCACAUGGUCUCUCUGAGAUGCUCUCAUCUCCAUAGGUCGUCAGGCCUCUUUUAUAAAAUCAAAACCCACUCCAGAUUGGAACCACAGUCCUUAUUGAAGUCUAGAAACAUCUUGACUAGUCGAUCGCUUCUGUAUGCUUCUCUAAACCACCCAAUCAUGCUCCUGCCCAUC